CGGGGUGUGGCGCAGUUCGGCUAGCGCGCCUGCUUUGGGAGCAGGAAGCCGGAGGUUCAAAUCCUCUCACCCCGA
This 75-nucleotide transfer RNA is filed under the name Fidelibacterota bacterium. RNAcentral's name for it is "tRNA-Pro". It matches the Rfam family "tRNA". Rfam says of the family: Transfer RNA (tRNA) molecules are approximately 80 nucleotides in length. Their secondary structure includes four short double-helical elements and three loops (D, anti-codon, and T loops). Lineage: Bacteria; Pseudomonadati; Fidelibacterota. The record is from RNAcentral.